RNAcentral lists this small nucleolar RNA (220 nucleotides) under Carlito syrichta (Philippine tarsier). RNAcentral's name for it is "Small nucleolar RNA U3 (ENSTSYG00000036022.1)". It matches the Rfam family "Small nucleolar RNA U3". Rfam says of the family: Small nucleolar RNAs (snoRNAs) are involved in the processing and modification of rRNA in the nucleolus. There are two main classes of snoRNAs: the box C/D class, and the box H/ACA class. Lineage: Eukaryota; Metazoa; Chordata; Mammalia; Primates; Tarsiidae. The record is from Rfam by way of RNAcentral.
AAGACUAUACUUUCAGGGAUAAUUUAUAUAGUUUGUUACUAGAGUAGUUUCUCUGGUCAUAUAAAAUGCCAGAAACCAUGAGGAGGAGGUACAGCAUUCCCUCCAGGGUGCGAAGCAGACUCGUGGUGUUGCUUUUUGACACAGCUGUCAUUUGCCAUUGAAAAUGUUCUUGUUUUCCUCUGGGGAAGUUACAGGAGGGAGAUGAUACAGUCUGAGUGGU